This 112-nucleotide non-coding RNA is filed under the name unclassified sequences. Its description in RNAcentral is "SAM-I-IV sequence". The stretch from base 1 to 99 matches the Rfam family "SAM-I/IV (S-adenosyl methionine) riboswitch aptamer". Rfam says of the family: It is found upstream of a number of genes which code for proteins involved in methionine or cysteine biosynthesis. It has been found mostly in the order Actinomycetales. The record is from Rfam by way of RNAcentral.
CAAUUACAUCAAGAGAGAGCGUAAGCUCCACCAACCAGCCUAAUCGGGCAACGGUGGUUCAACGAUGAGACCGAAAGAGGAAUAACUUAAGUAGGUAACAAUACGAUUGGGC